CAAGAAUCCAAGCAUCAAACAACAAAUCUGUUCUCUCUGGUUACCCAGAGUUGAGCACUGUAACCAACUGCACUCCAAAUGAGCCACGUGCAGUUUUGAUGACCAGAUAUGUGGAUGGAGGAAAAAAAAAAAAGAUAACUCUGGCAAGACUGAGCAUCCAUCUUUUGGUAUCUGAGAAUGGAGCAAAGAAAGAGAAUCCUGA
Molecule: long non-coding RNA, 202 nt
Filed under: Homo sapiens (human)
Lineage: Eukaryota; Metazoa; Chordata; Mammalia; Primates; Hominidae
Description: LNC_000960
Source: RNAcentral